Molecule: ribosomal RNA, 253 nt
Filed under: uncultured bacterium
Lineage: Bacteria
Description: partial 16S ribosomal RNA
Rfam family: Bacterial small subunit ribosomal RNA
Source: RNAcentral
UACGGGGGGGGCAAGCGUUGUUCGGAAUUACUGGGCGUAAAGGGCUCGUAGGCGGCCAACUAAGUCAGACGUGAAAUCCCUCGGCUUAACCGGGGAACUGCAUCUGAUACUGGAUGGCUUGAGUUCGGGAGAGGGAUGCGGAAUUCCAGGUGUAGCGGUGAAAUGCGUAGAUAUCUGGAGGAACACCGAUGGCGAAGGCAGGUCUCUGGGCCACUACUGACGCUGAGAAGCGAAAGCAUGGGGAGCGAACAGG